This 1976-nucleotide long non-coding RNA is filed under the name Nicotiana benthamiana. RNAcentral's name for it is "long non-coding RNA (NBEN_LNC018068)". The record is from RNAcentral. Lineage: Eukaryota; Viridiplantae; Streptophyta; Magnoliopsida; Solanales; Solanaceae.
GAGAUUAAGCCUAAAGAACCCUAGAAGCUGCUCUGAUUCCCCACCGUCUCAGGUUGUCGUUGCUGGUCCCAAAUAACCCCAAAACAACACUAGAGAACCCUCAUGGCUCCUACUUCCUUAGUCCACAACUAUUUUCCCUCGAAUCUGCCUAGAGCCCUUCGAAUCUUAAAUCAAAAGUCGGAACCCUAAAUCCCCGAAGAUGCAAAUUAGCCAGUUGGAAGAAGAUUUGAGUUCGAAUUGAACUUUAGUCGCGCGUUUUCGCCGAGAACACACAAUUAAGGUUUACUUCGAUCCAAAAUCAGAUUCUUCAAAGGGUCUUUCAAAGAUUUUGUUCACCUGGUUUGGACAAGUAUUUUCAGUAUCCCUUUUUCUUUAUUUCUUUUACCUCUCUUCUUCUAUUCUUCUUCUUUUCCUCUGUUUUCUCAAAAUCACUUCUGCAUGUAUCUCUUUAAUCCAGGCUAAUCGUUAGCUAGUAUCUUUUUAAUUCUAUUUGGAUUCAUUUAUUUUGAGUUUGUUUGAUUUUCAUUUAGUUUUGAGCCAAAGGGACCAUUUGGUUAAGAAAUUCGUUUGCUUUAGCAUUGCCUUUGUUUAUUAUUGGUUCUGCCUUUUAAAUUCUUCUAUUGAAUUUUUGAAUUGGACUUGGGUCCAAAUGGAAGGGAUUAGGCCACGCUUUGUUGUGUUAUAACAUUGGGUCAAUUUGACCCAUGCCCAUUUGGGUUCACUGAAGUAAAAACAGAGUGCUUAAGGGGUAAAUUGGGGAAAGUAGGUAGGGGAAUCUCUUAAUAACUGAUUAGGAAGCUUCCCAGAAGCUGUCAAGAGGACCUAGAUGAAAACAUGAUUUUUACAUUAAGGAGACUUAUGCAAAAUGAAAAUUGAAAAAGGCAGAAGGGCAAAGCUGAAUACAUUUUUGUUGCCCUAAAGGCUUGCCUAUAAAGGCACAUUGUCUUCUAUUCCAAGUCAGAGAAAAAAUGGAGAUAAAAAAUUGUAAAAAAAGUUGAAACAGCUAAGUUCUUGAAGAAAAAAAAAUCUAAUGCCCCUGCAUUUCUUGUUUGAAAACUGCUAAACUCCUGCUUAUUUGGUGUCAUCUGAUUUCAUUUUUGUUUUGGAAAAUCUCCUCUGAAAAUAUCAAAAUCUUGAACCUUGGUUCAAUGGCCUGAGUUUAGUUUCUUAGAGUUUGGUUUUGAGUUUUUGCUGCUGGGGUUACUGUGCUAUUGAAUUUGGGUUUGAUCUUUGCUAUUGUUGUUACUGUUCUAGUGCUUCUUGCUGGGUUCUGCCUGCUGCUUUCUACUGCUUCCUCACAUUUUUUUCCUUUCAAUUUUGAGGUAUAUAUCUCUGAUUCUAGAUAUGUAAAAAUUGUUUAUGUGAUCUUGAAGAAAUGAGUGUUUGGUUUAAUUUCCCUAUUGUAGUGUGUUAAAAGUAGAGUUAUGCUUUGAAUUUUUAGGUUUAUAUUAAAAAUUGUAAUUAAACUUUGUUUGGUAUUUGUUGGUUUUCAGUUUGUUUUGAAGUCAUGUUUCAUGAGUUGGGUUGGGUGGUAUGGAUGUGAGAUCAAUAUGGGAUAGCUAUAGGAUCUUUUGAGUAAAUAUGUCUAGGGGUAUUAGAUCCAAAGAGUACCUUCAUGAAUAGUACCUAUCUUCAUGUCUUCCUCUUUUCGUACUCAUUUGUUAAAAAGUAAGCCCAUGUGAUUAAGGAUCUAAAUAUGGUUUUGAGGUCCAUGUAAUUUGUAUGUUAUUUUUAUUUGGAAUUCUGAUAGUUUGGAGAAGAGUUUGCUUGAGCUUAAUAUUGUUAAGUAGUAAUAAGUGUAGAAUUCAUGAGAAGAGAAAAGAAAGGAAAAAAUGUUCAAGAUUGCUUUUAAGAGUAAAGGCACGUUACUCAUUUAAUUGUCAUAACCCUAACCCCGAUCGUGAUGGCGCCCAACAUAAUUGCUAGGCAAGCCUGACUAUUUGAACACUCUCAACCCAAGUACGAAAAUCCAUUAC